This 337-nucleotide unclassified non-coding RNA is filed under the name Corynebacterium argentoratense. Its description in RNAcentral is "16S-23S ribosomal RNA intergenic spacer region". The record is from RNAcentral. Lineage: Bacteria; Bacillati; Actinomycetota; Actinomycetes; Mycobacteriales; Corynebacteriaceae.
AAGGAGUUUAUUGUUUUUUGUGUGGAACACGCAUUGUUUUUGGGUGGAUGCACACCCUCACCAAGUGGUGGUGGGGUUGCAGCAGACGGUAAGGCAUGGAAAGAAAUUGUUUGGUGUUUCACACUGCUUUAAGAAAAGGGUGCGUUGGUGCAUUGUUGGGUGUCUGGAACAGCACUUGUCGCUUUGUGUGUGGCGUGUUGUUUCUUGCUCCAUGUGGGGUUGCUGGCCGUGAUGGUGGUUGGUGAUUGUGUGUGGGGUGUGUUGUUUGAGAACUGUAUAGUGGACGCGAGCAUCUUUAUUUUUUGAUUUUGCCUUGUAAGUGUUUUUUGUGUGUGUU